UACAGAGGGUGCAAGCGUUGUUCGGAAUUAUUGGGCGUAAAGGGCGCGUAGGCGGUGCGGUAAGUCUGCGGUGAAAUCUCCCGGCUCAACUGGGAGUCUGCCGUGGAAACUGCCGUGCUUGAGUGUGGGAGAGGUGAGUGGAAUUCCUGGUGUAGCGGUGGAAUGCGCAGAUAUCAGGAGGAACACCAAUAGCGAAGGCAGCUCGCUGGGACGUUACUGACACUGAGGCGCGAAAGCGUGGGGAGCGAACAGG
Molecule: ribosomal RNA, 253 nt
Filed under: uncultured bacterium
Lineage: Bacteria
Description: partial 16S ribosomal RNA
Rfam family: Bacterial small subunit ribosomal RNA
Source: RNAcentral